GACGAACGCUGGCGGCGCGCUUAAUACAUGCAAGUCGAACGGAAAGGCCUGCUUUCCCUUGUGGAUUGCGGGUACUCGAGUGGCGAACGGGUGAGUAACACGUGAGUGAUCUGCCCCCAACUUGGGUAUAAGCCUGGGAAACUGGGUCUAAUUCCCGAUAGGACUGCAGGGUGGUGCCUGUGGUGGAAAACGAUUUUCUAGUGGUUGGGGAUGAGCUCGCGGCCUAUCAGCUUGUUGGUGGGGUAAUGGCCUACCAAGGCGGCGACGGGUAGCCGGCCUGAGAGCGUGGACGGCCACAUUGGGACUGGGAUACGGCCCAGACUCCUACGGGAGGCAGCAGUGGGGAAUAUUGCACAAUGGGCGGAAGCCUGAUGCAGCGACGCCGCGUGGGGGAUGACGGCCUUCGGGUUGUAAACUCCUUUCGACCGCGAGGAAGCCACCUGGUUGGAAGGGUGGUGACGGUAGUGGUAGAAGAAGCACCGGCUAACUACGUG
Molecule: ribosomal RNA, 494 nt
Filed under: uncultured bacterium
Lineage: Bacteria
Description: partial 16S ribosomal RNA
Rfam family: Bacterial small subunit ribosomal RNA
Source: RNAcentral